RNAcentral lists this unclassified non-coding RNA (299 nucleotides) under plant metagenome. Its description in RNAcentral is "partial contains small subunit ribosomal RNA, internal transcribed spacer 1, and 5.8S ribosomal RNA". The record is from RNAcentral.
UUUCCGUAGGUGAACCUGCGGAAGGAUUAUUAACGAAUAACUAUGGUGUCUUGGUUGUAGCUGGCUCCUCGGAGCAAUGUGCACGCCCGCCAUUUUUAUCUUUCCACCUGUGCACCGACUGUAGGUCUGGAUGACUCUCGCACUCCGGUGCGGAUGCGAGGAUUGCUCUCGGGCUCUCCUCGAAUUUCCAGGCUCUACGUCUUUUUACACACCCCAAACGUAUGAUACAGAAUGUAGUCAAUGGGCUUGAUCGCCUAUAAAACACUAUACAACUUUCAGCAACGGAUCUCUUGGCUCUC